GAAAAUGGAUUCAUCUGUUUAAAUGUAAAGAACAACAUGAUUAGGAGAAACCCUGCAUUUUCUAGUGUUCUUCUUUGAAACAUCAUUUCACCCUUUAGAGGACUUCCUCUUCCUACAGGUCCCCUCUAGGGAGUAGAGGGAAAGAGGAAAAUUAUACUGCUACCAGCUCCCUCCAACCCUGUUCUUAAGUGAAUUAUAUCUGUUUGGAAGGCAAUGGACUUCUCUACCACUUUACCACAGCCCAGUCCCAAGAGGAAGGAGGAAGGAGAACUCUGCCUUGCUCACAGAGGACAAGGGUGGAAGAAAGUCCUCCAGUCCCAUCUUUCUUGGGUUUUCUCAGUGGGAGUUGGGGUGGGUGAAGAGAAGAGUAUAUCAUAACCCUUUUCUCCUUACCCAGAGGUCUUCAUUUAUAUGCUGGUGAUUGACAAACACAUUUAGUUCUCCUGUCCCAAAUCAGUUGAAGGCAAAUCACCAUACCCAGUUAACUAGUGGCAGGUCUUUGCCAGCUUAGAGUCUUUCAGUAAUUUCUCUUGGAUCUGUACAGUAUUGAGUAAAAUUUGAGUUUAUAGCUCAGUCCUGCAGACCCUUCAUAAUCUGGUCUUCGCCUCCAUUCUACUUCCUUUUGCCUCCUCUUCCAUCAAAACACAGUCCUCCUUGGUCCAGCCAUGAUGAACCACCCACAGAACCUGGCUGUUUCAAAUAAAAUGUUUUUUGAUGAAUUUCCUGAGGUUAUGCAAACCACUUUUGGACAUCUGAGGAAGUAUAAUUUCUACUCUCAGCUACCUGCUUCAGUGUAUCUGAACUAAGAAGCCCUUCUUCAUGGAUUAUUGAAUUCAAUUAUUAGAGCAAGGCACACACUGCUGCCUACUGCAUAUUUCUCCUGCCUUCUCCUGCAUAUUUCUUCAGGCCUCAGCUCAAGCUUCAGCGUCUCUGAAAAUCCUUUCAUUAGAGCCCUUCAACUUGGGUUAAUCUAUCUUAAAAAUAUGUUCUUUCAAAGUAACUAUCAGUUUAUAUAUUUGUCUACCUUAACAGAUAGUGAAGAAGGUAAUUUCUUCUUGAAGAAGGUAAUUUGUUCAGUG
Non-coding RNA from Ictidomys tridecemlineatus (thirteen-lined ground squirrel), 1079 nucleotides. The record is from RefSeq and is a predicted model, not a curated record. Lineage: Eukaryota; Metazoa; Chordata; Mammalia; Rodentia; Sciuridae.